RNAcentral lists this unclassified non-coding RNA (463 nucleotides) under Hevea brasiliensis (rubber tree). Lineage: Eukaryota; Viridiplantae; Streptophyta; Magnoliopsida; Malpighiales; Euphorbiaceae. The record is from RNAcentral.
AGCUCUUUCUCACAUCCCCAAUCUUGACUACUCUCCUUUAUUCUUGCAAGUUAUAGCCUCUCCAUCAUCCUCUUUUCAUACCCAUCUCUCAAUUUCAUACUCACAUACCCCUCUCUCAAUUUCACACUCAAUAAAUCCAGUGCAAGAAUCUCCUUUGAAGUUGAACAACAGUCCCCACCUCUAAGUGGUCGAAGCGCAGCCUUUCUUUUACGGUUUUGGUUGAACAGCGGUGAUUUCACACCUAGUUUGGUUCGGUAGGCCCAAACCCAUCUGCAUAAUGCCAACUUUUCGCUCAUCCAUUAGGCUGAUUCAGUACACCAUCGUGUUCCUUCAGUCGCAUUUGGUUCUGGUUCCUGCAGUCUGUUCAGGCUAACGUAUUUGAGUGUGGGUAUUGUUUAAAAUCUUUUAUUACUACCUUUGCUGAAUUUGAGUUUUGCCCUUUUGAGAUUGGUCGAUUUUUUUU